Molecule: transfer RNA, 78 nt
Filed under: Thermococcus stetteri
Lineage: Archaea; Methanobacteriati; Methanobacteriota; Thermococci; Thermococcales; Thermococcaceae
Also listed under: 1 other name
Description: tRNA-Ile
Rfam family: tRNA
About the family: Transfer RNA (tRNA) molecules are approximately 80 nucleotides in length. Their secondary structure includes four short double-helical elements and three loops (D, anti-codon, and T loops). Further hydrogen bonds mediate the characteristic L-shaped molecular structure. tRNAs have two regions of fundamental functional importance: the anti-codon, which is responsible for specific mRNA codon recognition, and the 3' end, to which the tRNAs corresponding amino acid is attached (by aminoacyl-tRNA synthetases). tRNAs cope with the degeneracy of the genetic code in two manners: having more than one tRNA (with a specific anti-codon) for a particular amino acid; and 'wobble' base-pairing, i.e. permitting non-standard base-pairing at the 3rd anti-codon position.
Source: RNAcentral
GGGCCCGUGGCUCAGCCUGGUCAGAGCGCCCGCCUGAUAAGCGGGAGGUCCGGGGUUCGAAUCCCCGCGGGCCCACCA